RNAcentral lists this ribosomal RNA (328 nucleotides) under uncultured eukaryote. RNAcentral's name for it is "partial 18S ribosomal RNA". It matches the Rfam family "Eukaryotic small subunit ribosomal RNA", at positions 1470 to 1796 of the family's 1831-position model. The record is from RNAcentral.
CCCUUAGAUGUCCUGGGCCGCACGCGCGUUACACUGAUGCAUUCAACGAGCUUAUAACCUUGGCCGAGAGGCCUGGGCAAUCUUGUUAACGUGCAUCGUGAUAGGGAUAGAUUAUUGAAAUUAUUAAUCUUGAACGAGGAAUUCCUGGUAAACGCAGAUCAUCAAUCUGCAUUGAUUACGUCCCUGCCCUUUGUACACACCGCCCGCCGCACCUACCGAUUGGAUGGUCCGGUGAAGCCUCGGGAUUGUGGUUCUUGCCGCUUUAUUGUGGCGUGACCGCGAGAACUUGUCUAAACCUUAUCAUCUAGAGGAAGGUGAAGUCGUAACA